This 29-nucleotide non-coding RNA is filed under the name Mus musculus (house mouse). The record is from RNAcentral. Lineage: Eukaryota; Metazoa; Chordata; Mammalia; Rodentia; Muridae.
UGGGACUGCUGACUUUGCCAGGGGCUUCC